GACGAACGCUGGCGGCGUGCUUAACACAUGCAAGUCGAACGAUGAAGAAGGAGCUUGCUCUGGUGAAUUAGUGGCGAACGGGUGAGUAACACGUGAGUAACCUGCCCUUGACUCUGGGAUAACUGCGGGAAACUGUAGCUAAUACCGGAUACGACCCUCGGAGGCAGCUCCUGGGGGUGAAAAGAAUUUCGGUCAAGGAUGGACUCGCGGCCUAGCAGCUAGUUGGUUAGGUAAAGGCUCACCAAGGCGACGACGGGUAGCCGGCCUGAGAGGGUGACCGGCCACACUGGGACUGAGACGCGGGCCCGACGCGUACGGGGGGGCGGAGUGCGGGAUAUUGCCCAAUUGGCGCAAGCCUGAUGCAUCAGCGGCGCGUGAGGGAUGGCAGUCUUCGGGUUGUAAACCUCUUUUAGCAAGGAAGAAGCGAAAAUGACGGUACCUGCAGAAAAAGCAGCGGCUAACUACGUGCCAGCCGCCGCAGUAA
Molecule: ribosomal RNA, 484 nt
Filed under: uncultured bacterium
Lineage: Bacteria
Description: partial 16S ribosomal RNA
Rfam family: Bacterial small subunit ribosomal RNA
Source: RNAcentral